UAAAAACAUACAAAACUUAAUUGAAUUAUGGAAUAUUUUGAAUCAGCGAUCGAAUCUUUCAAAAUAUUAAUUCUACUAUCUAAUCUUUCAAUCUGUUUGAUUUUAGUCGGUCAAUGAUACUUUGACUUUAAAAUUUAAGCUAAUCAUUUACUUCAGCAAAUUUAUAGUCGCAAGAAUUUGAUGGAGUAUACUAAUUGAACUUGUAAAAAUAAACGGUGCAAUCAAACUUUGAAGUCAAAAUACUGUUGACUGAUCCAAACAAACAAAUUGAAAGUUUGGGAGGUAAAAUCAAAAUACUGAAAUCACAGGGUACGAAAGUGAUCCAUUUUAAACCAUACAGUACUAAAGAGAGAAAGUGCAAAACCACAUGGGUGGUAUUUGAAGUUUUUCCAUAAAUUUUUAUUUUGAUACCAAAUUAAACACUAGAUAAAAUUGCAAUCUUAUUUUAAUUAUUCAAAAACGAUGAGGGGAUUGGCUAAAAUUAAUUGUAGGGCUUAGGGUUAAAAGUUCAGUAAGUACCAAAUAUGCAUCAAAGAGAGUAAUUAACUAUAAUUUAAACAAAUUAAGAUUCAAACACUACAAUAGAAUUAGGUUAUAGACACAUUUUUAGAACACUUUUGUGUAAGUGUUCCAUUUAUGCCAAAAAUUUUUUAAAAAAUCUACUAACGCCUAAAUAAAAAGCUCCAUCCAACCAAAAAUAAAAAGUCCCUCUACGCACUCAAUCAAUCCCACCCGGCUCACUCAGCCCGAUUACAAAUAGAAAAGAAAAAAAAAAAGGAAAAAGUUGAUCACCAUCUCCCCUUCUCCCUUUCCGCCGACGCAGCCAACGAGGUAGGGUUCCGGCGGCUGGAGUUCGGCCGCGAGGAUCUCGUAGGGACCAUAGAGAGCUAUAAUCGCUAUGUGUCUCUCUACCACAGAUCGCUGGAGGAGUGGGUGCCAAAUAUCGAGGUGGCCCCACAUAUAGCGACCCCACAUAUAGUGACCCCACAUAUAGCAACACUUUUAAAAAAUGUGGGUAAUUUAGCCGGUAACACUUUUUUUGACAUGUACCGACAUUUAAAAGUAUCAUUACACACCGUUUUUGUUGUAGUGAGAAUUUAAAUGCACGUAAAAGAACAUCUAUUUAAAUUGAAGAACUUAUAUUUUCAGAAAUAUGGAGGCCUUUGUGUUUAUAAGUUGUUUUCGCUAAUAGAAGAUCCAAUUCAACGAUCCGUUCCAUAAAACAUGACCUACUAUGUUAGAAUUAUUUAGAAAUCAAAUUUUAUAAUAUUUUGACUUUAUUUACCUAGUGAACAAGUAGCUUCAAAAUGAACGACUAAAAAUAAAUGUCCUAUAAAAAACAGUGAUAAAAGACUUAAAUUUCAAAUCGGAAGUAUUAAUCUUACUCUCAAUUAUAAAUAAAAAUUUUUUAUUAAAAUUUCACCCAAUUUGUAUUGUUCUAUACCGUUGAACUUAUAAACAUGCCACAUCGAUCAUUAAAAUAGUUAUUUUUGAAACCCUUUCAUUACUUGAUAAAUAAUAUUGAAAAAUUAUAAAAUUUAAUUUCUAAAUAGUUGUAAUAGCAUAAAUUAUGCCUAGCAGAACCAAUCAUCGAAUUGGAUAUUCUAAUCAUCGAAAUCAAAUUACAAGCACGGAAACUUCCAUACAUUCGAAAGCACGAGAGACAUACUUUUAUAUAUAGAGAGUUGAGCUGGAAUGCUCUCUCAGUAGCAAAUAAGUUCCGUUGCUACCGAUUUAUUUUCGAUGAUGAUAUAGCUUCUAAAUCAACGAGUGGGAUCGUUGAAUAUGAUGUAGACUAUUUAAACUAUUCGAAAAUUAAAUUUCAAUAUUUUCAACAUUAUUGACCUAAUUAUAAAAAAAUUUCAAAAUUUGUAAUUUUAAUGGUUCAUAUUUAUAAGUUGUUUUCGAUUAUUAAUUUCAAUGCAUCAAUCCUAUUU
Molecule: long non-coding RNA, 1937 nt
Filed under: Ananas comosus (pineapple)
Lineage: Eukaryota; Viridiplantae; Streptophyta; Magnoliopsida; Poales; Bromeliaceae
Description: long non-coding RNA (ACOM_LNC030266)
Source: RNAcentral